CACAGUACCGGGUAACCGGUAUGGGUGGCGAGUGGCGUACGGGUGAGUAAUACGUAGGAAUCUGCCUCAGAGUGGGGGGUAACCCGGGGAAACCCGGGCUAAUACCGCAUAAUCUCUUCGGAGCAAAGGGGGGUCGUAAGAUCUUUCGCUUUGAGAUGAGCCUACGUCGGAUUAGCUAGUUGGUAGGGUAAAGGCCUACCAAGGUGACGAUCCGUAGCUGGUCUGAGAGGACGGCCAGCCACACUGGGACUGAGACACGGCCCAGACUCCUACGGGAGGCAGCAGUGGGGAAUCUUGGACAAUGGGCGAAAGCCUGAUCCAGCAAUGCCGCGUGUGUGAAGAAGGCCUUCGGGUUGUAAAGCACUUUCGGUGGGGAAGAAAUGCUCAAGGCUAAUACCCUUGAGAGUUGACGUUACCCACAGAAGAAGCACUGGCAAACUCUGUGCCAGCAGCCGCGGUAAUACAGAGAGUGCAAGCGUUAAUCGGAAUCACUGGGCGUAAAGCGCAUGUAGGUGGAUAUUUAAGUCGGAUGUGAAAUCCCUGGGCUUAACCUAGGAAUUGCAUUCGAUACUGGAUAUCUCGAGUAUGGUAGAGGGAAGUGGAAUUUCCGGUGUAGCGGUGAAAUGCGUAGAUAUCGGAAAGAACAUCAGUGGCGAAGGCGGCUUCCUGGACCAAUACUGACACUGAAGUGCGAAAGCGUGGGGAGCAAACAGGAUUAGAUACCCUGGUAGUCCACGCCCUAAACGAUGAGAACUAGACGUUAGAGAAGCAAUUCUUUAGUGUCGAAGCUAACGCGUUAAGUUCUCCGCCUGGGGAGUACGGCCGCAAGGUUGAAACUCAAAAGAAUUGACGGGGGCCCGCACAAGCGGUGGAGCAUGUGGUUCAAUUCGAUGCAACGCGAAGAACCUUACCUACUCUUGACAUCCUAGGAAUCCUUCAGAGAUGAGGGAGUGCCUUCGGGAACCUAGAGACAGGUGCUGCAUGGCUGUCGUCAGCUCGUGUCGUGAGAUGUUGGGUUAAGUCCCGUAACGAGCGCAACCCUCGCCCUUAGUUGCCAUCAGGUAAAGCUGGGAACUCUAAGGGGACUGCCGGUGAUAAACCGGAGGAAGGUGGGGAUGAGGUCAAGUCAUCAUGGCCCUUACGAGUAGGGCAACACACGUGCUACAAUGGGAAGUACAGAGGGUCGCCAACCCGCGAGGGGGAGCUAAUCCCAGAAAACUUCCCGUAGUUCGGAUUGGAGUCUGCAACUCGACUCCAUGAAGCCGGAAUCGCUAGUAAUCGCGAAUCAGAAUGUCGCGGUGAUACGUUCUCGGGCCAUUGCACACACCG
RNAcentral lists this ribosomal RNA (1329 nucleotides) under uncultured bacterium. RNAcentral describes it as "bacterial SSU rRNA". It matches the Rfam family "Bacterial small subunit ribosomal RNA", at positions 68 to 1392 of the family's 1533-position model. The record is from RNAcentral.